Molecule: ribosomal RNA, 555 nt
Filed under: Triticum aestivum (bread wheat)
Lineage: Eukaryota; Viridiplantae; Streptophyta; Magnoliopsida; Poales; Poaceae
Description: partial small subunit ribosomal RNA
Source: RNAcentral
AUGGUGAACAACAAAGCUUUUGACAUUUUCAACUCCAUCAUCAAUACUCUAGCCCUUCGGGAGAUCCAUAUUAGUGGGGGUAAAUAUACCUGGACCAACAAUCAGGCUCACCCCACUCUAGAAAAGCUAGAUCGUAUCCUGAUGUCUGAAAGUUGGGAAGAUGCUUUCCCAAUGGUCUCUGUAAGGAAAUUAGUUCGUGAAAUCUCUGACCAUAAUCCCUUGUUGCUCUCCUCUGGGGAAGAAGGGCGUGAUGCACCUAAACCUCGAGGGUUUCGUUUUGAUCUUUCCUGGAUAAAAUAUGACAACUUCUUGCCCACUGUUGCGAGAAUCUGGGCAAGAAAAGUCGCAUCGUCUGACCCAAUAGAUGUCUUAAAUAUCAAGUUGAAGAGAUUUAUGACCUGCUUUAAAGGGCGGGGUUCGGACAGGUAUGGGCACGAUAAGAAAAGAAAAGAGGAGUUACGCAUGGAAUUGUCCAUACUGGAGGAACUAGAAGAGGAGGAUACGUUGCCCCUCGGAAAGUUGAUAUUAGUGCUGAGCUUUAUGAGAUCUUGGUGA